RNAcentral lists this ribosomal RNA (465 nucleotides) under uncultured bacterium. RNAcentral's name for it is "partial 16S ribosomal RNA". It matches the Rfam family "Bacterial small subunit ribosomal RNA", at positions 28 to 507 of the family's 1533-position model. The record is from RNAcentral.
GACGAACGCUGGCGGCGUGCUUAACACAUGCAAGUCGAACGGAAAGGCCCCUUUGGGGGUACUCGAGUGGCGAACGGGUGAGUAACACGUGAGUAACCUGCCCUUGACUUCGGGAUAACUUCAGGAAACUGGGGCUAAUACCGGAUAGGAAUCCUUGCUGCAUGGUGGGGGUUGGAAAGCUUCGGCGGUUUUGGAUGGACUCGCGGCUUAUCAGCUUGUUGGUGGGGUAGUGGCUUACCAAGGCUUUGACGGGUAGCCGGCCUGAGAGGGCGACCGGGCACAUUGGGACUGAGAUACGGGCCAGACUCCUACGGGAGGCAGCAGUGGGGAAUAUUGCACAAUGGGCGGAAGCCUGAUGCAGCAACGCCGCGUGCGGGAUGACGGCCUUCGGGUUGUAAACCGCUUUCAGCAGGGGCGAAGCUUGUGGUGACGGUACCUGCAGAAGAAGCACCGGCUAACUACGUG